Molecule: ribosomal RNA, 433 nt
Filed under: uncultured bacterium
Lineage: Bacteria
Description: partial 16S ribosomal RNA
Rfam family: Bacterial small subunit ribosomal RNA
Source: RNAcentral
AACGAACGCUGGCGGCAUGCCUAACACAUGCAAGUCGAACGAGACCUUCGGGUCUAGUGGCUCACGGGUGCGUAACGCGUGGGAAUCUGCCCGUGGGUUCGGAAUAACAGUGAGAAAUUACUGCUAAUACCGGAUGAUGUCUUCGGACCAAAGAUUUAUCGCCCAGGGAUGAGCCCGCGUAGGUUUAGCUGGUUGGGGGGGUAAUGGCCUACCAAGGCGACGAUCCUUAGCUGGUCUGAGAGGAUGAUCCGCCACACUGGGACUGGGACACGGCCGAGACUCCUACGGGAGGCAGGAGAGGGGAAUAUAGGCAAAUGGGCGCAAGCCUGAUCCAGCAAUGCCGCGUGAGUGAUGAAGGCCUUAGGGUUGUAAAGCUCUUUUACCCGGGAUGAUAAUGACAGUACCGGGAGAAUAAGCUCCGGCUAACUCCGUG